CCUACGGGGGGCAGCAGUGGGGAAUAUUGCACAAUGGGGGAAACCCUGAUGCAGCGACGCGGCGUGAGUGAAGAAGUAAUUCGUUACGUAAAGCUCUAUCAGCAGGGAAGAAAAUGACGGUACCUGAGUAAGAAGCCCCGGCUAACUACGUGCCAGCAGCCGCGGUAAUACGUAGGGGGCAAGCGUUAUCCGGAUUUACUGGGUGUAAAGGGAGCGUAGACGGUGCGCCAAGUCUGGAGUGAAAUGCCGCAGCUUAACUGCGGAACUGCUUUGGAAACUGGCGAACUAGGGGGCGGGAGGGGGAAGGGAAAUCCGUGGUGUAGGGGUGAAAGGC
Molecule: ribosomal RNA, 334 nt
Filed under: uncultured bacterium
Lineage: Bacteria
Description: partial 16S ribosomal RNA
Rfam family: Bacterial small subunit ribosomal RNA
Source: RNAcentral